AUAAAUCGGGUAUUAUCUCUCCUCCGUUCUCUCUCUUCUCUUCCAAGGCUUUUCAACCUAAGCAGUCCGGAAUCGAUUUCAGCUGUGUUAAAGAAUUAAAUGAUGCUAUUGGAUUGUUUCAAAAAAUGAAGAGUAUGCGGCGGGAUCCUUGUAUUCGAAUGUACAACAAUCUUUUGAGUGUUACUGUAAAGAUUGAGCAGUAUUCUUUUGCCCUUUAUAUGUUUGCUGAAAUGCUUAGAAUGGGUGUCCCUGUUAAUGUUUACACAAUGAAUAUUGCUAUCAAUUGUUGUUGUCUCUUGAAAGAUAUAAAAUCUGGCUUUGCUGUAAUGGGUAUAUUUUUCAAGAGAGGCUACGAACCAAAUGUCGCGACUUUCACCACUCUGAUUAAAGGGCUGUUUUUAGAUCAUAGGGUGGUCGAGGCUGGAAAAUUGUUCAAUAAGAUUUUGUGUUUCGGAAUAUGUGAGCCUAAUGAUGUUAUGAUUCUGACGAUGGUAGAUGGGCUUUGUAAAUCAGGAAAUGUCCUUCCAGCGAGAGAUUUAGUUCGUAGAUUAGAAAGAAGUAGGUUGAGACCUAAUGUCAAGGCUUAUAGUGCAUUGCUCGACGGGCUACGCAAAUCUGGAAUGGUGGAUGAUGCUCUCCAGCUCCUAUCCGCGAUGAUCGAAAAGGGUAUUACACCCGAUGUUGUCACGUACAACUCAAUGAUUCAGGGGUUGUGCGACCUAGGGAGACUGGAGGAUGUUAAGGUUCUGGUGAAUGAAAUGUCUAAUUCUAAUAUUUCUCUCGAUGUUGUUACCUUUAAUAUAUUGAUUGAUGCAUACUGCAAGGAGAGAAAGAUGGAAGAGGCUGAGGAUUUGUUGGAAAUUAUGAAGCAACGUAACGUAUGCCCUACUGUUGUCACUUAUAAUACGCUGAUUGAUGGGUAUUGUUUGAGAGGAGAAAUUGACAAAGCACGACAAGUACUUGAUUCCAUGGUUGACAAGGGACUUAAGCCUGAUAUUGUUACCUACAACUGCUUAUUAAAUGGAUAUUGCAGAAAGGGGAGAAUAGACGAAGCUUGGCUUCAUUUUCAGGAAUUUCCUUGUAAAGGUCUGGAGCAUGAUACAUGUACUUACACAACCAUGAUACAUGGAUUGUUUAGUGAACGUAGAUUUCCGAGGGGCUGGAAGCUUUCAAGGAUAUGGAAGCUCGACGAGUAUGUCCUGAUAUAUAUACUNAUGUGUAAAUUUAUGUCACAUAAUACUUAUUAAAAAACGGAGGAAGUUAGUAUGUACUUUUGAAAAAAAUAUUUAAUUUUAGAUGUUUUUCGAGUGCUCAAUAAUUUAAAAUGUCAUCAAUUUAUCAGAUGAAUUAAUAUUUCUUGAGCGAAAAACUUACAACUAUGAUUAAUUAUCAAUCAAUACUUGAAUAAGAUAAAAAUGCAUUGUUGAUACAAAAAGACCAUAAUCAGUAAUCAACUUGAAAGAAAUCUAAAUUAUAACAGUCAAUCGUAAUUUAUUAUUAUUAUUAUUAUUAUUAUUAUUAUUAUUAUUAUUAUUAUUAUUAUUAUUAUUAUUAUUUUCGAGUUUCGAUUGAAUCCAAAUAGAAUUACACAUUUGGUCCAUGAUUAUAUAUUUGGCCCAAUAGAAUUUGGGCUGGCCCAAUUCAACCCAAAUUACACACAUUUGGUCCAUGAUUUGUUCUUAAAAAAAGAACUAACAGAAAAAUAUCUUCACUCUUGCAAAACAUCCUCAGCAUCUGUUGCAAUUUCAACCCUUUUUUCUGCGAUUAACGAUUAUGAGUAGAAGAGCUGCUGUUACUGCAAUCGAUCUCAUUCAUGGAAGAGGAUUUCUCAAUCAAUGGUCGCAUAAAUCGGGUAUUAUCUCUCCUCCAUUCUCUCUCUUCUCUUCCAAGGCUUUUCAACCUAAGCAGCCCAGAAUCGAUUUCAGCUGUAUUAAAGAAUUAAAUGAUGCUAUUGGAGUGUUUCAAAAAAUGAAGAGUAUGCAGCCGGAGCCUUCUGUUCGAAUGUAUAACAAUCUUUUGAGUGUCACUGUAAAGAUUGAGCAGUAUUCUUUUGCCCUUUAUAUGUUUGCUGAAAUGCUUAGGAUGGGUGUCCCUGUUAAUGUUUACACGAUGACUAUUGCUGUGAAUUGUUGUUGUCUCUUGAAAGAUAUAAAAUCUGGCUUUGCUGUAAUGGGUAUAUUUUUCAAGAGAGGCUACGAACCAAAUGUCGCGACUUUCACCACUCUGAUUAAAGGGUUGUUUUUAGAUCAUAGGGUGGUCGAGGCUGGGAAAUUGUUCAAUAAGCUUUUGUGUUUCGGAAUAUGUGAGCCUAAUGAUGUUAUGAUUCUGACGAUGGUAGAUGGGCUUUGUAAAUCAGGAAAUGUCCUUCCAGCGAGAGAUUUAGUUCGUAGAUUAGAAAGAAGUAGGUUGAGACCUAAUGUCAAGGCUUAUAGUGCAUUGCUCGACGGGCUACGCAAAUCUGGAAUGGUGGAUGAUGCUCUCCAGCUCCUAUCCGCGAUGAUCGAAAAGGGUAUUACACCCGAUGUUGUCACGUACAACUCAAUGAUUCAGGGGUUGUGCGACCUAGGGAGACUGGAGGAUGUUAAGGUUCUGGUGAAUGAAAUGUCUAAUUCUAAUAUUUCUCUCGAUGUUGUUACCUUUAAUAUAUUGAUUGAUGCAUACUGCAAGGAGAGAAAGAUGGAAGAGGCUGAGGAUUUGUUGGAAAUUAUGAAGCAACGUAACGUAUGCCCUACUGUUGUCACUUAUAAUACGCUGAUUGAUGGGUAUUGUUUGAGAGGAGAAAUUGACAAAGCACGACAAGUACUUGAUUCCAUGGUUGACAAGGGACUUAAGCCUGAUAUUGUUACCUACAACUGCUUAUUAAAUGGAUAUUGCAGAAAGGGGAGAAUAGACGAAGCUUGGCUUCAUUUUCAGGAAUUUCCUUGUAAAGGUCUGGAGCAUGAUACAUGUACUUACACAACCAUGAUACAUGGAUUGUUUAGUGAACGUAGAUUUUCCGAGGGCUGGAAACUUUUCAAGGAUAUGGAAGCUCGACGAGUAUGUCCUGAUAUAUAUACUUAUAGUACAUUGUUGGAUGGGCUGUGCAGGAAUGGGGAGACUGAUGAAGCUCUUUCUUUUCUGCAUACGAUUGAAGGGAAAGGAGUUGAUCUCGAUAGAGUUACAUAUGGGGCUGUCAUUAAUGGAUUAUGCAAAAAUGGGAAACUUGAUGUUGCCAGAGAUCUUUUCAACCAACUGCCUUCUAGAGGUGUGCUACCUAAUGCUCGUAUAUAUAAUAUGAUCAUUGGUGCACUUUGUCAUGAAGGUUCUACGGAGGAGGCACAAUGUUUGCUUACAGAGAUGCAGAGUCAUGGUUGUGCACCUGACGACAUGACAUACAACAUCAUGACACGAAGUUUCCUAAAGAAGAAAGAACUUAGCAAGGCAAUACCAUACUUGGAAGUAAUGCGCGAAAAGGAACUCUCUGCAGAUGUUUCUACUCUUUCCAUGCUCAUUGAUCAAAUGCAAGGAAAAACUAAAGAUGAUGUUCUUCUCAAAUUGAUGAAAGAUGUUUUGCCAAAGGAUUUUCCAUCAUAGUCAUCUUACCUUCUGAGAUGCAACCAACUCAGGCUUUGGGGCUGAACUUUGUGUCUUUUUAUUUCUUCUAGGUUUUUUUUUUUUUUUUUUUUNCAUCUAAAGAUUUUUCUUGUGAUUUUGGAAGGGUACUUGCUUGCGUUUAUUUAUGGGUGGUUUAUCAAUUAAUCGAUUUUUUUGUAAUAUAUCUCAUGUGUACAAAUAUAUUCUCAUAUAUUCUAAUAUAUCAAUUCGUAUGCGUAUGUUGCAGAAAUGGAUAUUCAUUUAUUUUCUUCUACUUUGGAUACAAGAGGCAGCCUUCUAGCUGAAGUGUCUCUUUCCUAGAUUAGCAACACAACUAAUAUACACUUCCAUAUUUAAUGAAAAAAAAUGGCAAAGAAGAAGAUGAAAAGAAAAUUUACCAAACAUAUUACUCAUCUAAACCACAAUUUGAGCAGAAAACUACUUAUUUUGCAAAUCAAAAUUGCCUCACAAAACAUCCUGCAGUUUACAGUCUUGAAAAAGCUACACCAAAAACAUACUUGUGAAGAUUUAGCAACACAACUAAUAGCAGCAAACCGGUAUCUACACCCUCCUUCAUCUCCUAAACACAAUUCUCUCAACAAUACAAAAUACUCCCUCUGUCCCCAAAAUAAAAAUAAGUUUCUCUUUGGGGAUGGCACGGGUUUUAAGGAAAAGUGGUAAAGUGUAUUGAUAGUGGAGAAAAACAUUUUAUAAUUAUUAUUGAGAGUGGUGAAAAUGUGAAAAAAAUGUUAUAAUUACUAUUGGGAGUGGUGAAAAAUUGAAAAGUAAGAAUAAAUAAAGUAUUAUUAGUGGUGGGGUAGUCGUUCGAAAAUGGAAAGAAAGAAAGAGGAACUUAUUUGGAGGACGUCCCAAAAAAGAAAAAGAUGAACUUAUUUCAGGGACGGAGGGAGUAUAUUUUAAUAGGAGUAACAUAUAAUAAUUCACAUCAAUUACUCAAUAAAAUCCUGAAUUUAAAAAUAUAAAUAUUCAAUUUAUACAAAGUGUAAUAAUAAUUGAAGUUAUUAAAUAAAUUUAAAAAGUAUUCGAUAAUAAAAUUUUGCACUAUGCAUAUACUAUUCAUCAUAAUAAAUAUUUCUAUACAAACGUAAAUAAAAAGUUUUGGUGACAUUUAAAUAUUUUUCAUGAUCAAAUUUGAUGACGUUUAAAUAAUAAUUACAAUAUAAAAAGGUUAAAAAAAUAGUGAAAAUUUUGGUGGAAGAAAGAGAUCGAGAGAAAAGAGAGGGAAAAAAUAGAGAGAGAAAACUCAUCUUUUAUAUAUUAUAUAGAUAUAGAUAUAGAUUCCAGGUAUUAUUCUUGUGUUUUUUUCUCAAGAAAAUGUAUUAUUUUAUUUACAUUGUAUAGUAUUGCUAUAUUUUCUUUUCGUGCAUAGCACAUGAGAAAAUACUAGUUAACCUAAGAGAGAGAUUACUAUAGUGAUUUUCUUAGAAGAAAUGCGCGAAAAGAGACUCUUAGCAUAUGCUUCUACUUUUUUGAUUUAAUCCAUUAUCAUUGCAGCAGAUUAUUUAAAGGGGUGGAAUUAAAAGUACCCACCCCCAUAAUAUGUCUAUGAAAAAUACCCAACCCCUUACUAGGGGUGGGUAUUUUUCAUAUAUUAAGUCUUAUUUAAAUUUGUUUGGAUUGGUCUAGAGAUGACACUUGUUCUACUUUUUUUUAUAUAAGGCACUUACUUGAAGUUAUAAAAAAUAUAUAUACAUAUAUAUAAAAGUCCAUUAUGAUAUCACAAAAUUUUUUAUCAUAAAAAACACAUGCAAUUCUAAAAUUAACAAAUAAUAAUAUGCCUUAUAACUACAAUAUUAAAUAUUACAAACUGAUCUACAACAAAAUUAUAAUACAAAUUUGAAUAAGAGCGAUGAAAAGAAUUGUUUAACUUAAUAUUACCAACAAAUUUCACUCAUAACGCCAUUGCAUAAUGAAACUAUCAAAUUAACUAUAUAUUUUUUUAUUUACAUACAAAAUAGGGUUAUUUACGAAAGAAAUAAGGUUAUUUUAGGUAUUUUUUUUAAAGACAAAUGAAAGAAGGAAACUCAUUGUAUAAUUAAAAGUUCUCAAGUAUACAUUAGAAAAUACAAGUAAAAAAAAAGUAUACAUUAGAAAAUACGAUGGAAUUGUGUAGUGAUCCAACAUAUUUGGUAAGUGGCUACUUUAUUUCAAAGUUAAAUACUUUUUUAUAUAAUUAAAAUAAGAAAACUAAAAUAAUUAUAGAUGCACUACAUUUUAAAAAAUGUAAGAAAACGUUUAUUAUGUUUACUAUCUUAGUAUUUUUUUUUCUGUAGCCCAAAUAAUUUGAGCCCAAACAUUAUUAUUCAAGCCCAAAAUUCUGAGCCUACCAAAGAACUCCCCUUACAAAAAAGUCCAAAUCGCAAACUCCAUCCGUUGCAAUUUCAACCCUUUUUUCAGAUUCAAUCACAACUAAUCUCGCAAGCGUCGCCCAACACUCUCCCUUUCUUCACAUUAAAUCUCACCGCCGAUUAAGGAUGAGAGCAGAAGAGCUGCUGUUUCUGCAAUCGAUCUCAUUCAUGGAACAGGAUUUCUCAUCGAUGGUCGCAUAAAUCGGGUAUUUCUCUCCUCCAUUCCACUUCUCUUCAAGCGUCGCCCAACACUCUCCCUUUCUUCACAUUAAAUCUCACCGCCGAUUAAGGAUGACGAGCAGAAGAGCUGCUGUUUCUGCAAUCGAUCUCAUUCAUGGAACAGGAUUUCUCAAUCGAUGGUCGCAUAAAUCGGGUAUUAUCUCUCCUCCAUUCUCUCUCUUCUCUUCCAAGGCUUUUCAACCUAAGCAGCCCAGAAUCGAUUUCAGCUGUGUUAAAGAAUUAAAUGAUGCUAUUGGAUUGUUUCAAAAAAUGAAGAGUAUGCAGCCGGAGCCUUCUGUUCGAAUGUAUAACAAUCUUUUGAGUGUCACUGUAAAGAUUGAGCAGUAUUCUUUUGCCCUUUAUAUGUUUGAUGAAAUGCUUAGGAUGGGUGUCCCUGUUGAUGUUUACACGAUGACUAUUGCUGUGAAUUGUUGUUGUCUCUUGAAAGAUAUAAAAUCUGGCUUUGCUGUAAUGGGUAUAUUUUUCAAGAGAGGCUACGAACCAAAUGUCGCGACAUUCACCACUCUGAUUAAAGGGUUGUUUUUAAAUCAUAAGGUGGCCGAGGCUGGGAAAUUGUUCAAUAAGAUUUUGCGUUUCGGAAUAUGUGAGCCUAAUGAUGUUAUGAUUCUGACGAUGGUAGAUGGGCUUUGUAAAUCAGGAAAUGUCCUUCCAGCGAGAGAUUUAGUUCGUAGAUUAGAAAGAAGUAGGUUGAGACCUAAUGUCAAGGCUUAUAAUGCAUUACUCGAUGGGCUACGCAAAUCUGGAAUGGUGGAUGAUGCUCUCCAGCUCCUAUCCGCGAUGAUCGAAAAGGGUAUUACACCCAAUGUUGUCACGUACAACUCAAUGAUUCAGGGGUUGUGCGACCUAGGGAGACUGGAGGAUGUUAAGGUUCUGGUGAAUGAAAUGUCUAAUUCUAAUAUUUCUCUCGAUGUUGUUACCUUUAGUAUAUUGAUUGAUGCAUACUGCAAGGAGAGAAAGAUGGAAGAGGCUGAGGAUUUGUUGAAAAUUAUGAAGCAACGUAACGUAUGCCCUAAUGUUGUCACUUAUAAUACGCUGAUUGAUGGGUAUUGUUUGAGAGGGGAAAUUGACAAAGCACGACAAGUAAUUGAUUCCAUGGUUGACAAGGGACUUAAGCCUAAUAUUGUUAGCUACGGCUGCUUAUUAAAUGGAUAUUGCAGAAAGGGGAGAAUAGACGAAGCUUGGCUUCAUUUUCUCGAAGUUCCUUUGAAAGGUCUGGAGCAUGAUACAUGUACUUAUAAUACCAUGAUUCAUGGACUGUUUAGUAAGCGUAGAUUUUCCGAGGGCUGGAAACUUUUCAAGGAUAUGGAAGCUCGACGAGUAUGUCCUGAUAUAUAUACUUAUAAUACAUUGUUGGAUGGGCUGUGCAGGAAUGGGGAGAUUGAUGAAGCUCUUUCUUUUCUGCACACGAUUGAAGGGAAAGGAGUUGCUCCUAAUAGAGUCACAUAUGGGGCUGUCAUUAAUGGAUUAUGCAAAAAUGGGAAACUUGAUGUUGCUAGAGAUCUUUUCAACCAACUACCUUCUAGAGGUGUGCAACCUAAUGCUCGUAUAUAUAAUAUGAUCAUUGGUGCACUUUGUCAUGAAGGUUCUACAGAGGAGGCACAAUGUUUGCUUACAGAGAUGCAGAGUCAUGGUUGUGCACCUGACGAAGUGACAUACAACAUCAUGACGCGAAGUUUCCUAAAGAAGAAAGAGCUUAGCAAGGCAAUACCAUACUUGGAAGUAAUGCGCGAAAAGGAACUCUCAGCAGAUGUUUCUACUCUUUCCAUGCUCAUUGAUCAAAUGCAAGGAAAAACUAAAGAUGAUGUUCUUCUCAAAUUGAUGAAGGAUGUUUUGCCAAAGGAUUUUGCAUCAUAGUCAUCUCGCCUUCUGAGAUGCAACCAACUCAGGCUUUGGGGCUGAACUUUGUGUCUUUUUAUUUCUUCUAGUUUUUUUUUUUUUUUUCAUCUAAAGAUUUUUCUUGUGAUUUUCUUGCGUUUAUUUAUGGGUGGUUUUUCAAUUCUCAUAUAUCUCAUGUUGUGUGCAAAUAUAUUCUCAGAUAUUCUAAUAAUUCAAUUCAUAUGCAUAUGUUACUGAAAUGGAUAUUCAUUUAUUUUCUUCUGCUUUUGAUUUUCACCUAGAAAUAAAGGGUGGUAAGUAUCUGUUCCCUUUGAGCAAGAAGCAGACAGCCUUCUAGCCUUCUAGCAACACAACUAAUAUAUACUUCCAUAUUUAAUGAAAAAAAAUGGCAAAGAAG
RNAcentral lists this long non-coding RNA (8415 nucleotides) under Salvia miltiorrhiza (redroot sage). RNAcentral describes it as "long non-coding RNA (SMIL_LNC008453)". Lineage: Eukaryota; Viridiplantae; Streptophyta; Magnoliopsida; Lamiales; Lamiaceae. The record is from RNAcentral.